RNAcentral lists this ribosomal RNA (301 nucleotides) under uncultured bacterium. Its description in RNAcentral is "partial 16S ribosomal RNA". It matches the Rfam family "Bacterial small subunit ribosomal RNA", at positions 509 to 808 of the family's 1533-position model. The record is from RNAcentral.
CAGCCGCCACGGGAAUACGUAGGGUGCGAGCGUUGUCCGGAAUUACUGGGCGUAAAGGGCUCGUAGGUGGUUUGUCGCGUCGUCUGUGAAAUUCCGGGGCUUAACUCCGGGCGUGCAGGCGAUACGGGCAUAACUUGAGUACUGUAGGGGUAACUGGAAUUCCUGGUGUAGCGGUGAAAUGCGCAGAUAUCAGGAGGAACACCGAUGGCGAAGGCAGGUUACUGGGCAGUUACUGACGCUGAGGAGCGAAAGCAUGGGUAGCGAACAGGAUUAGAUACCCGGGUAGUCCCUGUCUCUUAUA